AUCGCUUCUCGGCCUUUUGGCUAAGAUCAAGUGUAGUCUCUGUUCUUAUCAGUUUAAAAGUCUCGUGGAGUUAAAACUAAAUGACUUUUGAAAUUAAAAAAAAAAAAGAUUAAAUGAGAAUUCCAC
Molecule: small nuclear RNA, 126 nt
Filed under: Ailuropoda melanoleuca (giant panda)
Lineage: Eukaryota; Metazoa; Chordata; Mammalia; Carnivora; Ursidae
Description: U2 spliceosomal RNA (ENSAMEG00000028425.1)
Rfam family: U2 spliceosomal RNA
About the family: U2 is a small nuclear RNA (snRNA) component of the spliceosome (involved in pre-mRNA splicing). Complementary binding between U2 snRNA (in an area lying towards the 5' end but 3' to hairpin I) and the branchpoint sequence (BPS) of the intron results the bulging out of an unpaired adenosine, on the BPS, which initiates a nucleophilic attack at the intronic 5' splice site, thus starting the first of two transesterification reactions that mediate splicing.
Source: Rfam by way of RNAcentral